This 468-nucleotide ribosomal RNA is filed under the name uncultured bacterium. RNAcentral describes it as "partial 16S ribosomal RNA". It matches the Rfam family "Bacterial small subunit ribosomal RNA", at positions 28 to 507 of the family's 1533-position model. The record is from RNAcentral.
GACGAACGCUGGCGGCGUGCUUAACACAUGCAAGUCGAACGGUAAGGCCCUGCUUUUGUGGGGUGCUCGAGUGGCGAACGGGUGAGUAACACGUGAGUAACCUGCCCUUGACUUUGGGAUAACUUCAGGAAACUGGGGCUAAUACCGGAUAGGAUCUCCUGCUGCAUGGUGGUGGUUGGAAAGUUUCGGCGGUUGGGGAUGGACUCGCGGGUUAUCAGCUUGUUGGUGGGGUAGUGGCUUACCAAGGCUUUGACGGGUAGCCGGCCUGAGAGGGUGACCGGCCACAUUGGGACUGAGAUACGGCCCAGACUCCUACGGGAGGCAGCAGUGGGGAAUAUUGCACAAUGGGCGGAAGCCUGAUGCAGCAACGCCGCGUGCGGGAUGACGGCCUUCGGGUUGUAAACCGCUUUCGCCUGUGACGAAGCGUGAGUGACGGUAAUGGGUAAAGAAGCACCGGCUAACUACGUG